Lagopus leucura (white-tailed ptarmigan) is the source of this 379-nucleotide long non-coding RNA. RefSeq lists it as uncharacterized. NCBI's taxonomy places the organism in Eukaryota, Metazoa, Chordata, Aves, Galliformes, Phasianidae. The record is from RefSeq and is a predicted model, not a curated record. The transcript has 3 exons.
CCUCCCUUUGGGAUUUGCUAACAAGCCCAGGAUAAGGUAAGCAAAUUGCCUGGCAGUGUCAGUCAUGGACCAAGAUGUUUCCUGCUAAUGUCUGUAAGAACUGAGUGAAAUGAAGUAUGCAGGAUGGAUAUUGUGUGAUAUAUUCCACUGUUGAUUUCCAGUGCAAGCAGUUACAUUUGCUGAUAACAAAAUGCAUUUAUCUUCAGUGGCAUUUUAGAUUGCUCCACAACCUGCUGCGUAUUCUAAUGAAACCUGUAUCGCUACCAAUUAGACACCUGCAGAAGAAGUGGCUAUGCAAAUACCUUGCCCCCCAAAUGCUAUUUUCCUUCUCUCAUUAAGCUUUCAAACUAAACUGUAUCACAGUUAAUGGCUGAAAACU